CCUAGACUGAAAUCUAAGGCAAAGUUCAAAUUGUUUAUUCUUUUUUCUUGGCAGACUGUGUGUGUUUCUAUUCAACUACAAUGUUGAUCCUGUCCAGGACUCUCCUUUAAAUGCUGCUUUACUAAAAUCUUUAUUUAAAUCUGAUUUGAAUUGUUAGAAGGUUUUCUGGGGGGAAAAUUAAGAGACCAUACCAUGCUAACUUUUUAGAAACAUUUUCCAGAAUCACCAGUUAAUAUUACUUAAUUGAGAAAAAGGCUUGAUAACUAAAAUAUUCAGUGACUGAGAUAGUCUACUUAAUUAUGCCUUCUAGAUAAACUUCUAAGUAUUGUAGUUCUCCGAGCUUACGCCCACAUUAUUGAAAUCUUGGUAAAAUAAACAUUUGCCCUUUUCUAUAUUGUAUGGGUAGUUUAGAGCUGACACAGUGGAAUCUUUAACUCAUGGCUGAACUCCUGAAAUCAGCCCUGACUAAUUAACAAACACUUCUGACCCAGGCUGUACGGUUGUGUGCGUGUGUAUAAUGUAGACCUUGGGUGACAUUAUUGCGCUUUCUGCAUAGCUCAGCCUGAUGUCAGAACUCCAGGUGCACUAAACCACAUGUAGUGAAAAGAGAAACCAUGGUUCCGGUGGUGGUGCUUGUUGUUUUUGUUUUGUUUUGUUUUGUUUUGUUUUUUAACAUUUUCCGGUGUCUAUUUUGGCCACAUCUCCAGUGGGAAAAGCACUGCUUGCAAGGUGAUAUCCUUUGGUUGGUGCUCUGUCUCCAGCUUUCCUGGCCGAUAUCUCUGUCACUGACUAUGGUGAAAACACUGGGCAUGCUGAUGAAGCCUAAAAGUAACUUGAAGGAAGGCAAGUGAAUACAUUAGAUCAUAGAACUGGGAUUCAGAAAGGUCUCCAUGGACUGAAAUGAAUGGCAAGUGUCUAACCAGAUACAAUUCAGUGGGGAGAGAAAAGCGCAAGUCUCUGUACUUGGACAUAUUACACGGUCCAGAGGGGAAGAGUACUCUUUCUUUUAAAGCACUUGAAGGGCUGUUAUUGAAGGGUUUCUAAGCCUAAGGCCCAUAGACCAUCAUACACCUUAGGCAAUGACCCAGAAAUUGCCCAUAAGCCAUAUUUUCUGGGGGUGGAGUCUGUAAUGUUGAUUAAAUGCUCAAAAUAAGAAAAAAACAAAACAGAUUAGACCUAAAGGUUUUAACUGGGAAAAAUAAAAGGAAGCUACAAACAGAUUUUAUCUCCA
Molecule: long non-coding RNA, 1231 nt
Filed under: Felis catus (domestic cat)
Lineage: Eukaryota; Metazoa; Chordata; Mammalia; Carnivora; Felidae
Description: lncRNA (ENSFCAG00000050878.1)
Source: RNAcentral